RNAcentral lists this ribosomal RNA (301 nucleotides) under uncultured bacterium. RNAcentral describes it as "partial 16S ribosomal RNA". It matches the Rfam family "Bacterial small subunit ribosomal RNA", at positions 509 to 807 of the family's 1533-position model. The record is from RNAcentral.
CAGUCGCCGCGGUAAUACGUAGGUGGCAAGCGUUGUCCGGAAUUAUUGGGCGUAAAGGGCUCGCAGGCGGUUUCUUAAGUCUGAUGUGAAAGCCCCCGGCUCAACCGGGGAGGGUCAUUGGAAACUGGGAAACUUGAGUGCAGAAGAGGAGAGUGGAACUCCACGUGUAGCGGUGAAAUGCGUAGAGAUGUGGAGGAACACCAGUGGCGAAGGCGACUCUCUGGUCUGUAACUGACGCUGAGGAGCGAAAGCGUGGGGAGCGAACAGGAUUAGAGACCCCUGUAGUCCCUGUCUCUUAUAC